UGGGGAAUAUUGCGCAAUGGGCGAAAGCCUGACGCAGCGACGCCGCGUGGGGGAUGAAGGCCUUCGGGUUGUAAACCCCUUUCAGCAGGGACGAAGCGAAAGUGACGGUACCUGCAGAAGAAGCGCCGGCUAACUACGUGCCAGCAGCCGCGGUAACACGUAGGGCGCAAGCGUUGUCCGGAAUUAUUGGGCGUAAAGAGCUCGUAGGCGGUCUGUUGCGUCCGCUGUGAAAACUCGGGGCUUAACCCCGAGCCUGCAGUGGAUACGGGCAGACUAGAGGUAGGUAGGGGAGAAUGGAAUUCCCGGUGUAGCGGUGAAAUGCGCAGAUAUCGGGAGGAACACCGGUGGCGAAGGCGGUUCUCUGGGCCUUACCUGACGCUGAGGAGCGAAAGCGUGGGGAGCGAACAG
This 408-nucleotide ribosomal RNA is filed under the name uncultured bacterium. Its description in RNAcentral is "bacterial SSU rRNA". It matches the Rfam family "Bacterial small subunit ribosomal RNA", at positions 355 to 775 of the family's 1533-position model. The record is from RNAcentral.